Molecule: ribosomal RNA, 253 nt
Filed under: uncultured bacterium
Lineage: Bacteria
Description: partial 16S ribosomal RNA
Rfam family: Bacterial small subunit ribosomal RNA
Source: RNAcentral
UACGGAGGGUGCGAGCGUUGUCCGGAAUCAUUGGGCGUAAAGGGCGCGUAGGUGGCCCGGCAAGCGUGCGGUGAAAGCUCGGGGCUCAACCCCGAGUCGGCCGUGCGAACUGCUGGGCUCGAGCGCUGUAGAGGCAGGCGGAAUUCCGGGUGUAGCGGUGGAAUGCGUAGAGAUCCGGAAGAACACCGGUGGCGAAGGCGGCCUGCUGGGCAGUGGCUGACACUGAGGCGCGACAGCGUGGGGAGCAAACAGG